UACAGAGGGUGCGAGCGUUAUUCGGAUUCAUUGGGCGUAAAGCGCGUGUAGGCGGUUCGAUAAGUCUGAUGUGAAAUCCCAGAGCUCAAAUCUGGAAGUGCAUUGGAUACUGUCGGACUAGAGUGCAGGAGAGGAGAGCGGAAUUCCUGGUGUAGAGGUGAAAUUCGUAGAUAUCAGGAGGAACAACAGUGGCGAAGGCGGCUCUCUGGACUGUUACUGACGCUGAGACGCGAAAGCGUGGGGAG
This 245-nucleotide ribosomal RNA is filed under the name uncultured bacterium. RNAcentral describes it as "partial 16S ribosomal RNA". It matches the Rfam family "Bacterial small subunit ribosomal RNA", at positions 524 to 768 of the family's 1533-position model. The record is from RNAcentral.